CAAACAACUAAUGAGAAAACAGGACUAUAAGAACUACUGUGCUAUCAACUGCACUCCUCUCCCAAACCAAGAUACCUUAUUUUCAAACCUCGCCUGCAGAGUUGGGUGUGCUGCUGCAGUCAAACAUACUCCAUCCCAGGAGAGUGAUUUUACAAAAGCAUACUCAGCAACCUAUACAACAGCAAUCCUACUACUUACCUGCAUGAAGAGAAUGAGCCAGAGAACAGAAUCCACCAGGCUGGCUGCAAACUGGACCCAUGCUGAACUCUCCAGAUCCUUCAUCUUACCAGGUGGUUCUGCUUGAGCUCCUUGAUGACUCUCCAUGUUAACAUUCUCUUGAUCGCCUGUGAUACAAAACACAACUAUGGGUCUACUUUUGGGCAACAAACUCUUGGAUAGACAAAUCUUAGCCUCACAUAAAACUUAUAUUACCAGUACACUGGGCCAUUAAAACUAUCCACUGUAUUCAAUUCACUUUUACAUUCUUGUCUGAAAGCUACAACAAAUUCACAGAAAACAACACUUACCACUUGAUUUGAAACAGAGUUUCUUCUUUUGGUAUGCAAUGAAGCUAGACACUGCUCCAACUACUGCCACGACCACAGCACUUAUGAUUCCUGGUACUACUCCUUGAGAAGCUGUGAACAUUUUUUUCAUUUUAAAAACAGAACUUCCAUAUUCUCAAAGAGCAUAAAUACUUUGAAUGUUUUCAAGUAUUUCAAACAUGUAAAUAUGACAUUUGAAAAUAAUGGAGCAAUCAAUUGUCCUGUUUUCACAGAUUUUGCAAAACUCAAAUAUAAAUUUGAGAACUGA
Molecule: long non-coding RNA, 813 nt
Organism: Alligator mississippiensis (American alligator)
Lineage: Eukaryota; Metazoa; Chordata; Crocodylia; Alligatoridae
Exons: 4
Source: RefSeq, a predicted model, not a curated record